Non-coding RNA from Ictidomys tridecemlineatus (thirteen-lined ground squirrel), 73 nucleotides. Lineage: Eukaryota; Metazoa; Chordata; Mammalia; Rodentia; Sciuridae. The record is from Rfam.
AGGGAUGUGGCUCAGUUGGCAGAGUGCUUGCCUACCACGCACAAGGUCCUGGGUUCAAUCCCCAGCAACACAC